Molecule: ribosomal RNA, 21 nt
Filed under: Parasporendocladia bactrospora
Lineage: Eukaryota; Fungi; Ascomycota; Sordariomycetes; Chaetosphaeriales; Chaetosphaeriaceae
Description: Sporendocladia bactrospora partial 28S ribosomal RNA
Source: RNAcentral
GGUUGACCUCGAAUCAGGUAG